UCGAGCGAGACCUUCGGGUCUAGCGGCGGACGGGUUAGUAACGCGUGGGAACGUGCCCUUCUCUGCGGAAUAGCCACUGGAAACGGUGAGUAAUACCGCAUACGCCCUUCGGGGGAAAGAUUUAUCGGAGAAGGAUCGGCCCGCGUUAGAUUAGAUAGUUGGUGGGGUAAUGGCCUACCAAGUCUACGAUCUAUAGCUGGUUUUAGAGGAUGAUCAGCAACACUGGGACUGAGACACGGCCCAGACUCCUACGGGAGGCAGCAGUGGGGAAUCUUAGACAAUGGGCGCAAGCCUGAUCUAGCCAUGCCGCGUGUGUGAUGAAGGUCUUAGGAUCGUAAAGCACUUUCGCCAGGGAUGAUAAUGACAGUACCUGGUAAAGAAACCCCGGCUAACUCCGUGCCAGCAGCCGCGGUAAUACGGAGGGGGUUAGCGUUGUUCGGAAUUACUGGGCGUAAAGCGUACGUAGGCGGAUCAGAAAGUUGGGGGUGAAAUCCCGGGGCUCAACCCCGGAACUGCCUCCAAAACUCCUGGUCUUGAGUUCGAGAGAGGUGAGUGGAAUUCCAAGUG
This 567-nucleotide ribosomal RNA is filed under the name Sulfitobacter dubius. Its description in RNAcentral is "bacterial SSU rRNA". It matches the Rfam family "Bacterial small subunit ribosomal RNA", at positions 62 to 675 of the family's 1533-position model. Lineage: Bacteria; Pseudomonadati; Pseudomonadota; Alphaproteobacteria; Rhodobacterales; Roseobacteraceae. The record is from RNAcentral.